GAUUUGUAUAAAAAGUACUAACUUUGCUGUUAAUAAUUUAGGAAAUGAGUCCAUUUUCUUGUACCCUACCAAAGCCGAUGUGUGCACAGCUAAUUCUGGCAGACUUGACUCUGGUUAGGAACAUUAGAACAAUCCGUGUAAGAUAUGUAACUAGAAAUUAGUUUCAUACCUAAGGGGUUUUUGUGACAAUCAACACAUGCUGCACUAUCACAUAUAAAUUCAGCAGAACACUGAACAACUGUAAUUAUAAAUUAUAUUUUUUUAUAGACAUGUGCAGUUUACAACUCCAGGGCUGCAUUAAAAACUGGUAUCCAUCAUGCUGUCAAAAUAACAAGUUCUGAUAGAAAACAAACAAAAUCAUAUUUAAAAAAUUUGACACUCAAUAUGCUAAAAUUUGAUGAUAGUGACAGGCAGACUACAAAUCUAAUUUAAAAAUGAAAGAAGCGGUUUAACACUACAUACUUAAUUCUUUAUUGGCCGGUAUAUUUCCAUUAAUUAGUUACAAUGAACUAACAUUGAGAGAGUUCAAAAUCCUGAAAAUGUUUAAAAGCAGUAAAAUUUCACCCAAAGUGGACAAGACAUAUCUCCCUCAAUAUAAGCAAUUUUGCAACUAUAAUACUAAAGCUGACUUAGGCCCAUACUCUAAAACAUCAAUUAAACUUAAUUUAGUUUCAAGAGAUGUCAUGUAAUUUUGCCUGUAUGAUAUUUGACAAUGCUCAAGUCAACAUCUUGACUUGAAAUAUUAAUUAGCAUAUGGACUUUAAAAUGGGAAGAAAUACUCAAGAACUUAAAUAAUGUACCAUGGGGUGGUAUGGUAUUCCAUCUCAAAUCAAGUUACCGUCUAAAAUUAUAAAGAGAAGAGGGCUACUAUUAUGACUAAAUUGAUGUUGCCCAGCCUAGAUGUCCUAGAAACUGCAAAGGUACAUGCAUAACACAUAGUCCCAACUGCAGAUUAUAAACAACUGAUUGGUGCAAAUAAAAUAUAUAUUUAAUUAA
This is a long non-coding RNA of Pieris napi, 996 nucleotides long. RefSeq lists it as uncharacterized. The record is from RefSeq and is a predicted model, not a curated record. The transcript has 11 exons. NCBI's taxonomy places the organism in Eukaryota, Metazoa, Arthropoda, Insecta, Lepidoptera, Pieridae.